Long non-coding RNA from Sander lucioperca (pikeperch), 172 nucleotides. RefSeq lists it as uncharacterized. NCBI's taxonomy places the organism in Eukaryota, Metazoa, Chordata, Actinopteri, Perciformes, Percidae. The record is from RefSeq and is a predicted model, not a curated record. The transcript has 3 exons.
UGUGUGUGUGUGUGUGUGUGUGUGUGUGUGUGUUUAAGUAGACCUGCUGCAUGCCACUGGUCCAUGAGUUUGCGUAUGUAUUGUACUGCAUCUGUAAUAUUUGUGUCCCUGUACGAUUUUUUCUUCAUGUGGACAUAAAUAAAUGGUUAAAAUGUGUGUGUGUGUGUGUGUG